Long non-coding RNA from Rhineura floridana, 534 nucleotides. RefSeq lists it as uncharacterized. The transcript has 6 exons. The record is from RefSeq and is a predicted model, not a curated record. NCBI's taxonomy places the organism in Eukaryota, Metazoa, Chordata, Lepidosauria, Squamata, Rhineuridae.
UGCAAAGCAAUCAGAAGGAAGGGAUGUGAAACAUUUCCUAUAUCUCCUUGCUGAAAAGAUUUGUUCUCUUCCAACAGGAGCAGUUUGCAGUGAGAAGUACAGGAAUAGUGGACCUAUACAGUUGAUGGAUUCUUGAGGGACUUGGGAUGUUGGUGCUCCUGUUGAAGCCAUGACUACUCUAUGGAAUACGGAGCUGACACAGGAGGAUUUGAAAGAGAAAUGGUGGAUGGCGUGUGUGUGUGUUCCAACUUUCAACACUUGUGUAUUUUUGGAGCUUAUAUUGGCAGCCUAGAUGUGCCCCGGCCAAACAGCAGGGUGGAGAUUGUGACUGCCAUGAGACGUAUCAGGGUUGUGAGGAUUAUUUCAUGCCUAUUUACCUUACUUUGUUCACACAUUUGAUGAAAAUCCAGUUAACAGCACUCAGAAGUAAAUCCCUUUGAAUAAAGUGAUGCUUUCACCCAGGUAUCAGCUAUUCACAAAUAUCCUGACAAACAUAAUGAAAGCAAAACAAAUCUAGGACACCUCCAAAAUAUA